ACCUUUCGGGGUUGAGUGGCGGACGGGUGAGUAACGCGUGAGAAUCUGCCUUUUGGUCGGGGACAACCACUGGAAACGGUGGCUAAUACCGGAUGUGCCUUUAGGGGUGAAAGAUUAAUUGCCAGAAGAAGAGCUCGCGUCUGAUUAGCUAGUUGGUGAGGUAAAGGCUCACCAAGGCGGCGAUCAGUAGCUGGUCUGAGAGGAUGACCAGCCACACUGGGACUGAGACACGGCCCAGACUCCUACGGGAGGCAGCAGUGGGGAAUUUUCCGCAAUGGGCGAAAGCCUGACGGAGCAAUACCGCGUGAGGGAGGAAGGCUCUUGGGUUGUAAACCUCUUUUAUCAGGGAAGAACCAAAUGACGGUACCUGAAGAAUCAGCAUCGGCUAACUCCGUGCCAGCAGCCGCGGUAAUACGGAGGAUGCAAGCGUUAUCCGGAAUUAUUGGGCGUAAAGCGUCCGCAGGUGGCUCAUCAAGUCUGCUGUCAAAGGCAGGGGCUUAACCCCUGAAAGGCAGUGGAAACUGGAGAGCUAGAGUGCAGUAGGGGUAGAGGGAAUUCCCGGUGUAGCGGUGAAAUGCGUAGAGAUCGGGAAGAACAUCGGUGGCGAAAGCGCUCUGCUGGACUGCAACUGACACUAAAGGACGAAAGCUAGGGGAGCGAAUGGGAUUAGAUACCCCAGUAGUCCUAGCCGUA
RNAcentral lists this ribosomal RNA (693 nucleotides) under uncultured cyanobacterium. RNAcentral's name for it is "bacterial SSU rRNA". It matches the Rfam family "Bacterial small subunit ribosomal RNA", at positions 72 to 804 of the family's 1533-position model. Lineage: Bacteria; Bacillati; Cyanobacteriota. The record is from RNAcentral.